Molecule: unclassified non-coding RNA, 241 nt
Filed under: Leotiomycetes sp.
Lineage: Eukaryota; Fungi; Ascomycota; Leotiomycetes
Description: partial contains 5.8S ribosomal RNA, internal transcribed spacer 2, and large subunit ribosomal RNA
Source: RNAcentral
CGCACAUUGCGCCCGGUGGUAUUCCGCCGGGCAUGCCUGUUCGAGCGUCAUUUAAACCAAUCCAGCCUCGUGCUUGGGUCUUGGGCUUUCGCCUCUGGGCGGGCCUCAAAAUCAGUGGCGGUGCCUUCUGGCUCUAAGCGUAGUAAUACUUUUCGCUAUAGAUGUCUGAUGGUAUCUUGCCAACAACCCUUAUUUUUCUAAGGUUGACCUCGGAUCAGGUAGGGAUACCCGCUGAACUUAA